This 305-nucleotide ribosomal RNA is filed under the name uncultured bacterium. Its description in RNAcentral is "bacterial SSU rRNA". It matches the Rfam family "Bacterial small subunit ribosomal RNA", at positions 337 to 638 of the family's 1533-position model. The record is from RNAcentral.
ACCUACGGGGCGCAGCAGUGAGGAAUAUUGGUCAAUGGGCGGAAGCCUGAACCAGCCAAGUCGCGUGAGGGAAGAAGGCCCUGCGGGUCGCAGACCUCUUUGGACGGGGAGCAAGGCCGCCGACGUGUCGGCGGAAGGAGAGUACCCGUAGAACAAGCAUCGGCUAACUCCGUGCCAGCAGCCGCGGUAAUACGGAGGAUGCGAGCGUUAUCCGGAUUUACUGGGUGUAAAGGGAGCGUAGACGGAUAAGCAAGUCUGAUGUGAAAAUCCGGGGCCCAACCCCGGAAUUGCAUUGGAAACUGCAU